This is an RNA transcript of Oncorhynchus tshawytscha (Chinook salmon), 4632 nucleotides long. It is a transcript of the gene named calpain-7, with no coding region annotated. Lineage: Eukaryota; Metazoa; Chordata; Actinopteri; Salmoniformes; Salmonidae. The transcript is spliced from 19 exons. The record is from RefSeq and is a predicted model, not a curated record.
GAGCUACCCGGAAGCUAAAUCUUGGAAAUCACUUGUUGUUGUUGUUAUCGAGCCGAAAGUAGCUCGUCUACUUGCUAGCUGUAUAUCAUAAUGUUUUACGGAUAUUGUCAAGGUGGUUGUUUGUAUUCCAUUCAUUUUAUGAUCUUAUUUUAAAAACCCAUAUUUUGUAACUGUAACUCAUUGCUUUGAUUUAGCUGUCUAACGUUCUGUCAAGUUCGGCUUGCUAGCUAACGCCGCUAGCUAGUUAACGUUAGUUACGAAUGACAGGGACAGUCAUAUUUUCCAGGCUGUAUGAAAAAACGUUAGAACAAAAUGGAUUGCACGGCACUGGAGCACGAUGCAGUUAAAUUUGCUAAAACUGCUGUCAUCUGCGACCAGAAUGGAAAAUACAACGAGGCUGUCUUCUAUUAUAAGGAGGCGGCACAAGCCCUGAUCUACGCCGGCAUGGCAGGGUCUAAACUGGAGGGCAUCCAGGAUAAAGUCUAUGAGUACCUGGACCGGGUUCAGGCCCUGCACAAUGCUGUUCAAGCUCAAAGUAGCGAUCCUCUGAAGAGCAAGCAGCAGGUAGAUCUGGAGCGGGCCCACUUCCUGGUCACCCAGGCCUUUGAGGAGGAUGAGAAGGGCAAUGGGGACGAGGCCAUCGAGCUCUACACACAGGCCGUGGAACUCUGCAUCCAGACGUCUCAUGAUACGACAGACCAGGGGCUGCAGGGCAAACUGAAGCAGCUGGCUCGUCAGGCCCUCGAUAGGGCGGAGGGGCUGAAGGAGUCCCAGUCCGCCAGUCCCUUAGCCCAGUCGCCACAGGACAGGCCGGGGCCCUCAGGGGCCAAACAUAGUGGGGGGCCUUGCCCCGUCAGACAGUUCUUCCCCCUUGGACCUGACUUCUCCCUCCAGAACCGUCCCCAGCCAGUCAGGCCCGUCCAGUCCAGCGAGCCUCAGGGUCAGCGCUACACCUCAGAAGAGAUCGAGGUGCUCAGGAGCACGUCCAAGAUCAACGGCAUACCCUUCGUCCCCUUCAUGAGCGUAGACCUGAAGGAGAGAUUUGCCUUUCCUGUUCCAUUCUCGGACAAACUAGGCAAGCUGGCCCUGUCUCCCAAGCAGAGAACCAUCUUCUCCCGCUGGGUUCGCCCUGACGAGAUCUGCAAUAACCCCACCAUGAUCUUAUCUGUAUCCAGCUUCAGCAUCAAACAGACAGUGGUGUCUGACUGCUCGUUCGUGGCGUCGUUAGCCAUCAGCGCUGCCUAUGAGCGACGCUACAACAAGAAGCUCAUCACCAGCAUCAUCUACCCCCAGAACCGGCGCGGGGAGCCAGAGUAUAACCCCUGUGGGAAGUACAUGGUGAAGCUUCACAUCAACGGUGUGCCCAGGAAGGUCAUUAUAGACGACUUCCUGCCAUGUGGUCAGAAUGGAGAGCUGCUGUGUUCCUACUCCAGCAACAGGAACGAGCUGUGGGUCUCCCUCAUAGAGAAGGCCUACAUGAAGGUCAUGGGAGGCUACGACUUCCCCGGCUCCAACUCGAACAUCGAUCUGCACGCACUCACUGGCUGGAUCCCAGAGCGUAUCGCCAUGCAUUCAGACAAUCAGUCAUUCAUCAAGGACGACACCUUCCGCAUGCUCUACCAGAGGUUUCACCGGGGCGACGUCUUAAUCACCACAGCAACGGGGGUGAUGACAGAGGAGGAAGGCGAGAGGUGGGGCCUUGUGCCAACGCAUGCCUACGCUGUCCUGGAUAUCCGGGAGCACAAAGGGAAGCGGUUCCUGCAGCUGAAGAACCCGUGGAGCCACCUGAGGUGGAAAGGUCGCUUCAGUGAACGGGACGAGAAAAACUGGACCCCAGAACUUCUCAAAUACCUCAACUUUGACCCCAAGACCGCACAGAAGUUUGAUAACGGUGUGUUCUGGAUCACGUUUGAGGACCUGUGCCAGUACUAUGAUGUCAUCUACCUGAGCUGGAGCCCUGCCCUGUUCAGAGAGUCUUCCUGUAUCCACAGUAGCUGGGAUGGGAAGCAGGGCCCGGUGAAGGAUGCCUACAGCCUGGCCAACAACCCUCAGUACCGGCUGGAGGUGACCUGUCCUGCAGGGGGCACCGCUGUCUGGGUGCUGCUGACCAGACACAUCACUGACAAGGACGACUUUGCACAAAACAGGGAGUUCAUCACCUUGGUGGUUUACAAGACAGAGGGAAAGAAAGUUUACUACCCUGCGGACCCUCCCCCCUACAUAGAUGGGAUCAGGAUCAACAGCCCCCACUACCUGACCAAGAUGAGACUAACCAGCGCUGGAACACACACAUUCACACUGGUGGUGUCACAGUACGAGAAGCAGAACACCAUCAACUACACCCUGAGGGUCUACUCUGGAUGCAAGUUCUCCUUCUCCAAGAUCCCAACGCCCUUCACUCAUACCAAACGGAUCAAUGGCCAGUGGAAAGGGCCGAGUGCGGGGGGCUGUGGGAACUACAAGGACUCGUACAAGCACAACCCCAUCUACCAGUUUAACCUGGAGCGCCCAGGACCCAUGCUCAUAGAGCUACGAGGCUCCAGGUGACUGCAGAAGGACUACUCUCCACAGCUUUACACUCUGCCCUGACCCACCUGGAUAAAACCAACACAUAUGUGAGAAUGCUGUUCGUAGACUUUAGCUCAGCAUUCAAUACGGUCAUUCCCUCUAGGCUGGUCAUCAAACUCCAUGACCUAGGGAUCAGCCCCUCUCUCUGUAACUGGACUUUGGACUUCCUGACCAACAGGCCCCAGUCUGUCAGGUUAGACAACUUCACCUCCUCAACCCUGAACACCGGUGUGCCACAGGGCUGCGUGCUGAGCCCCCUCCUGUACUCCCUCCUCACCUGUGUUCCUGUACACAGUGUCAACACCAUCAAGUUCGUAGACGACACCACGGUGGUAGGCCUGAUCAGUGACAAUGACGAGUCAGCCUACAGGGAGGAGGUCAAGCACCUGGCUGCAUGGUGCACUGACAACAACUUGGCCCUCAAUGCAAAGAAAACCAAGGAGCUCAUUGUGGAUUACAGGAAGUCUAAAAGCAGUAGCCACGCCCCAGUUCUCAUUGAUGGCACUGAGGUGGAGCGUGUGCCCAACUUCAAAUACUUGGGUGUCUACAUCUUCGAGGACCUCUACUGGACCCUCAACACCUCAACCCUGGUCAAAAAGGCGCAGCAGCGCCUAUACUUUUUGAGGAGGCUAAAGAAGGCCCCCCUGUCUCCCAAGAUCCUGGUGAACUUUUCCCUCUGCAUGGUCGAGAGCAUUCUGACUAACUGCACCACAGUGUGGUUUGGUGGAUGCUCCGUGGCCGACCGGAAGGCCCUGCAACGGGUGGUGAAAACUGCCCAGCACAUCACUGGUGUCUGGCUCCCUGCCAUCGUAGAUCUCAAGCGCAAGCGGCGUCUGCAUAGGGCGUGCGGCAUCCUCAGGGACCCUUCACAUCCAUGCCACAAACUGUGUGCCCUUCUACCAUCAGGCAGGUAGUACAGGUCUCUACGUUCCCGCACUAGCAGGCUCAAGAACAGUUUCUUUCCAGCUACUGUAACCCUGCUGAACACUGUAACAGCCAUAUGCACCCGCCCACAUCUUAGUACUUCCUCUCGGGACCUCUUUGCACUCUUCACAGUACUACUGGACUCUGACAUUGCUUUGCAAAGUCUGUAUAAAGGACAUUACAUGUACAUGCCUACCUCGGUAACCUCAUUGCUGCUCUUCCUGUAUUUCAGUUGUACAUGCCUACCUCGGUAACCUCAUUGCUGCUCUUCCUGUAUUUCAGUUGUACAUGCCUACCUCGGUAACCUCAUUGCUGCUCUUCCUGUAUUUCAGUUGUACAUGCCUACCUCGGUAACCUCAUUGCUGCUCUUCCUGUAUUUCAGUUGUACAUGCCUACCUCGGUAACCUCAUUGCUGCUCUUCCUGUAUUUCAGUUGUACAUGCCUACCUCGGUAACCUCAUUGCUGCUCUUCCUGUAUUUCAGUUGUACAUGCCUACCUCGGUAACCUCAUUGCUGCUCUUCCUGUAUUUCAGUUGCAUGUCUCCUUGCACUUUCAUACAUCCCACUUAAUAUCAUACAUUGAACUUAAUUGUUUUACUUGUACAUUUUUUGCACUCUUUUAUUUGCACUUCUGGUCAGAUGCUAACUGUAUUUAGUUAUACUGUACUUGUUGAAUCUAAUCUAAAUGACUACAAUGCAAAAUAAUAUGCAUGGUCUGCAUUGUGUCUGACAGUCUGACUCCAAUGAGACUUUGUCAUGGCACAUCUGGAAAAUUUGAGCUGUCACAGAAUACGAUUGCCAGGUGUAAAUGUGACCAGACAGACUAACAGUCAGUUUCCAGUGUUACUCGACUCCCUUACGUCAUCCUGUAGGGGGUCAUCUUUAAUAGAUAAUCUGGUGCUCCUAAUUCAAAUCUGUCUCUCUGUCUGUAGGCAGUAGAGUUCAGGUUCUGGUUGCUUGUGGUGUUGUUAUCUUGUCUCUCCCUCUCUAGGCAGUACAGUGUGGGCUUUGAGAUGGUGACUGUGUCCACUGUAGUAGAGCCAGGACCUGCAGGCCUCCCGAAGAAGAACAGUGGAGACUACAGGUGUGGUUUCUGCUACAUGGAGGCGGACCAUGUCCCCGCUGGCAUCUACAAUGUCAU